ACUGGAGGACUAAGAAGGUGGAGUCUGUGAAGCGGGGCUCUGCUGAUACCACCCUCCUAGAGAAAAGCAAUGGAGAGAGCAGUCUUACUUACAGACGAGCAGAGGACUGACUGUACCAUCCAACAUUU
This is a small nucleolar RNA of Pelodiscus sinensis (Chinese soft-shelled turtle), 128 nucleotides long. It matches the Rfam family "Small Cajal body specific RNA 4". From Rfam's summary of the family: scaRNAs are a specific class of small nuclear RNAs which localise to the Cajal bodies and guide the modification of RNA polymerase II transcribed spliceosomal RNAs U1, U2, U4, U5 and U12. ACA26 belongs to the H/ACA box class of guide RNAs as it has the predicted hairpin-hinge-hairpin-tail structure, conserved H/ACA-box motifs and is found associated with GAR1. The record is from Rfam. Lineage: Eukaryota; Metazoa; Chordata; Testudines; Trionychidae.